RNAcentral lists this long non-coding RNA (4701 nucleotides) under Marmota monax (woodchuck). Lineage: Eukaryota; Metazoa; Chordata; Mammalia; Rodentia; Sciuridae. The record is from RNAcentral.
AUUUUUUUGUAAUGAAAGCAAAAUUUUUAUAAUAAUCCUGAGCAAAUGUAUUGACCAAAAUGUCUCAGAGGGGAUUUUUAUUUUGGUACCAGGAUUGAACCCAGGGGCUCUUUACAACUGAGUUAUAUCCCCAGUCCUUUUUUUUUUUUUUUUUUUUUGAGAGAAGGUCUUAUCAAGUUAUUGAGGGUCUCCCUUAAUUGCUGAGACUGUUUGGAACUUGCAAUUCUCCUGCCUCAGCCUCCUGAGCUAUUAGAAUUACAGUUGUACACCACCAAACGUGCAGCAGGGGGGAUUAACAGCAAAAAUAUUUACUCUACCUGGAAAACAACCUGACUCCUGACCUUCCAACCUCCUAUAGACCAUUCAUUACAAGGAGAAAGUUCUAUGAUUAUAAGAAUGUUAAUGAUAAAGAGAGCAAGCUAUAGCACUACAUGCACAGAAUGAGUCUGUUUUCAUUUAAAAUGUUUAUUUUAUGUUUAUGUUUUGUUAUUGUUAUUGUUUUGUUUUGUUACUGGAGAUCUGCACCCUGGGUACUUUGCUACUAACCUAUAUCCCCAGCCCCUUUUAAAAAAUGUUUAGACAGGGUAUUACUAAGUUGCUGAGGCUGAGCUUAAACCUGCUACAUUCCUUCCUCAGCCUCCUGAAUAACUGGGAUUAGGACAAACUUCACCAUGCCUGGCAUAAAUAGCAUAGUCUUAGUAGAGCAUAUAUUAAAAAGUAGAUGAAAGACUAGUUACCAAAUUGUUAACAGUGCUUGCCUGUGAGGAAUUGGGAAUGGGGGAAAUAACUUCCACUUUUUAAACUGUUGGAUAUCCACUUCUAAAUCCAUUAUUAAUUUUGCAGCCUAUGUGUGUGUGUGUGUGUGUGUGUGUGUGUGUCUGUCUGUCUGUCUGUGUAAGGGUCUAAGUUCCCUAGGCUGCCCUGGAACUUAUGAUCCUCCUGCCUCAGGCUUAAAAUAGCUGAUAUUAAUAAAAAAAAAUUUCUAUUUCUUUUUUCCCCCAAUAAUGGGGAUCCAAUACAGGGUGUUCUAUACCACUAAACUACAUUCCCAGCCCUUUUUGUUUUUUGAGAGAGGGUCUUGCUAAAUGCCUGAGACUGGUCUUGAACUUGCAAUCCUCUUGCCUCAGCCUUCUGGGUCACCCAACUUCACUUUCUUUUUAAAAAGCUAAGUUCAAAAGACACAGAUGAAAGAAUUUUCAAACUCCAUAUGGAACUUAUUCAUUAUUCAGAAAAACAGCUGGAGAACUAUUGUUUUAAAUAUAUGUUGAAUACAUACGAUUUUUACUGCAGACGUGACACAUGGCCCAUAGUCCCCAGAGCUGAACCACUGGUUGAGAGAAGUUGCUAAGGAGUGAGUAAAAUGACUUGAAAGAUCUAAAAAGUACAAGGAUGUGAAUUCAGAACUCAGAAAUAUAAAAAUAAUUUAACAUUCUCCCCCAUAGUCAAUACCUCACCAAGCCAGAUAUACUAUGCGCUAUACCUUGGUAGCUAUCAUUUAAACUGAAUUUUUUGUCAGAUGCUCUACACAUUCAAUAUCUCAUUUCUUCCUCAAUCUGGCACACUGUCCACCUCACUUCAUAAAUAAGGAAAAUGGAAUCAUUUCUAGAAAUGACUUUCACAGUAUCACAGAAAAGAAGUGGGAUUUGAACACAAGGCUAAAUGAUACUGAGACUUUAUUACUAUAUAAUCAAGUACACUAAGGACAGGCUUGAAGAAAAUCACAUUAUAAUGAAAUUACCUGUAUGUUACCAAUGCUGACAUCUUACAACUUGGACUUGGCCAAUUCUUCAUGGUUGCAUGCUUUUUCCCAAAAGACAGGGAGAAACAAAGAUUCAAUUAUUAUAUUCCAUCAUUUAUAAAAGGUCAAAAGAGAUUAUUUCAUGUCAUUUAUAAUUAAAUACAUUUGAAACAAAAAUAAAUUUUCAAAACAUGGGAAUGACAAAAUUUAGAUAUACCUACUUACCAAAUUAUUUGACAACCAUUACAUAUGUAGAUACAUGAAGAAAAGAAUGCAAUAAAGGCUUCUUUUUUAAGGUACUGAACUGAAAUUACACUACAUCCUUAAAUCCCACUCACUGAAUAGUAAGAAUGGUUUAAAACAGAAGAACUCACUCUAACAGAAAACAUGUGGAAUGUAUUUUGAAUCACCUCUUUAAAAGCCCUCUGUUCCUGCUGAAGGAUAGAAACAGCCUUUGGGACAAAAAGUCCCCUGUGUUUCUCCUUUGCUAGCAAAGCAAUAAACCUCUUUUUCCUCUUUCUCAAAAAUAAAUAAGUAAAUAAACAGAAAUAAGAGAAGAAAUCAAACACCAAGAACAAAGUAGAUGGGAGAUAUAGUAACUGACUGUGGUAAGAAAAACAAACCCCUGGGGACAGUGGUGCAUGCCUAUAAUCCCAAAAACUUGGGAGGAUUACCAAAUUCAAGGCUAGAUCUUGCAAUUCAGCAAGAUCCUCAGCAACUUAGUGAGACUCUGUCUACAAAUAAAAAAAGAAUUGGGCAUGGUGGCACAUGCCUGUAAUCCCAGAGGUUCAGGAGGCUGAAGCAGGAGGAUCCCAAGUUCAAAACCAGCUUCAGCAACUUAAUGAGUCCCUCAGCAACUUAGUGAGACCCUAUCUCAAAAAAAAAAAAAUACAAAGGGCUGGGGAUAUAGCUCAGUGGUUAAAAGCCCAUGGGCUCAAUCCUUGAUACCAAAAUAUAAAUAAAUAAAAUAAAAAGCUAGGGAUGUUGCUCAGUGCUAAAAGCACCUCUAGGUUCAAUCUCCAAUGUCACAAAAACCAAUUUGAACACAAUCCCUAGGAGAUUUAAAAUUUUUCACAAGCUACUUUCCAAAGUGAAACUAGAGAUGGGCUUCAAAACAGGAGGAUGGCUGAAAUGAUUAAAGAAUGGGGCUGGCAAUAUAGCUCAGUUGUUAGAGUGCUUGCCUUGCAUUCACAAGGCCCUGGGUUCUAUAGCCAGCACCACGCUCAACACACACACACACACACACACAUUUUUUUUUAAAAGGCUGGAAAUGUAGCUUAGUGCUUAUAUAACUUGUGUAAGGCCCUGUGUUCAAUCCCCAGUACUGAGGCGGGGAAACACAGAAAGCAGAAAACACAGUCUGGGGAAGGCCAAUAUCUCCAGAAAGAAAAAAAAAUUUUUUUUAAUGAAAAAGUGGGGGCUAGGGUUAUGGCUCAGCAGUAGAGUGGUCACCUAGCAUGUCAAGGAAGCCCUGGGUUCGAUCCUCAGCACCAUAUAAAAAUAAAUAAAAAAAAUAGAAGUAUUGUGUCCAACCACAACUAAAAAACAAAUAUUUUUAAAAGAUGAAAAAGUGGGCUGGGCACAUGACUCAGUGGUACUGUGCUUUCCUGGCAUGUAUAAGGUCUUGGGUUUAUUCUCCAACAUCAGAAAGAAAAGGAAAAGGAAAGGAAAGAAAAAAAGAGGAAGGGAGGGAGGGAAGGAAAAAAGGAAAGAAAAGGAUGAAAGAAAGAGAGCUGGGCACAGGAACACACGCCUGUAAUCCUAGCAACUCCGGAGGCUGACGCAAGAGGAUGGCAAGUUCAAAGGCCAGUGUCAGCAACGUGGGGACACCUUGUCUAAAAACAAGAAGAGAUGUGGAGGUGGCUCAGUGCUCGUGACCCUUUGGGUUCAAUGUCCAGUACUGCAAAAAAAAAAAAACAAAGCUCUUUACCUUCAAAGUUUGGAAUCAUAGGGAUAUACCUUGAUGAGGGUUCAUUUUCUUAUACUGCAUUGAGUACUUAUUACCCUGGAAGUUUGUUUCCUUCAUUUGGGGAAAUUUUUUCUUUUCCAGUACUAGGGAGUGAACCCAGAGGCACCUUACCACUGAGUUACAUCUCUAGCUCUUUGAAUUUUGAGAUGGGGUCUAAGUUUCUGAGUCUGGCCUUGAACUUGCAAUCCUCCUGUCUCAGGCUUCCAAGUCACUGGGAUUAGAGUGUGCACUAUCAUGCCUGGCAAAGACUUAAAAAUUCUGAAGGAAAAAUAUUUGAAAGCUAAAAAUUCUACACCUAGCCAUUUCACCAACUAAAUGUGAGAGUAAGAUAAAGGCCUUUAGAAACAGUUGAGAUUUCACUUUCAUGCAUCUCUUCUUAGGAAACUACCAGAAGAUAUGCUGGGGAGCAAGUAAACCAAGAAAAAGGAAGGCAUGUAAUCCAGAAAAUAGGGAAGCAACACAAGAGAGACGAUGGGAAUAUGCAGAUGAUAGUAAAGGAAUAUUCUAGGAUGACAGUAACAAAGGUAUACCAGAUAAUACAAAACAAGCAGACCAGACAGAAGAGACACAGAAGGCUCUUGAGAAGGUGAAGUGGAUAGAACAGUUCUUAAAUGUACUGAAAAACUUAUAGCUAGAGUAUAGGAAAAAGUAGACACAAGAGAUAGAAAGAAUAAGAAUCAUUCUUUCCUAUUUGGGGACAAUUAAUGGGCAGAAGAUGCUUAAAAGUAAAAAAUAGCAACAAGGCUGGUUACCAUGGCCCACACCUGUAAGUCCCAGCUACUUGAAAAGCUAAGGCAUGAGGAUCACAAGUUCAAGGCCAGCCGCAGCAAUUUUGUGAGACCGUGUGUGAAUGUAAAAAAUUUAAAAAGGGUGGUGAUGUAACUCAGUAGUAAAGUGCCUCUGGGUUAAAUCCCCAUUACCCACCCCCCCCCAAAAAAAACCCCAAAACAAACAAAAAACCCAUAAUAUCUUAUUUAUAGAUAUGGAAGUAAAU